Molecule: ribosomal RNA, 492 nt
Filed under: uncultured bacterium
Lineage: Bacteria
Description: partial 16S ribosomal RNA
Rfam family: Bacterial small subunit ribosomal RNA
Source: RNAcentral
AGUGAACGCUGGCGGUAGGCCUAACACAUGCAAGUCGAACGGCAGCACAGUAAGAGCUUGCUCUUACGGGUGGCGAGUGGCGGACGGGUGAGGAAUACAUCGGAAUCUACUUUUUCGUGGGGGAUAACGUAGGGAAACUUACGCUAAUACCGCAUACGACCUACGGGUGAAAGCAGGGGAUCUUCGGACCUUGCGCGAUUGAAUGAGCCGAUGUCGGAUUAGCUAGUUGGCGGGGUAAAGGCCCACCAAGGCGACGAUCCGUAGCUGGUCUGAGAGGAUGAUAAGCCACACUGGAACUGAGACACGGUCCAGACUCCUACGGGAGGCAGCAGUGGGGAAUAGUGGACAAUGGGCGCAAGCCUGAUCCAGCCAUACCGCGUGGGUGAAGAAGGCCUUCGGGUUGUAAAGACCUUUUGUUGGGAAAGAAAAGCAGCAGGUUAAUACCCCGCUGUUCUGACGGUACCCAAAGAAUAAGCACCGGCUAACUUCGUG